CUGGCCCUACGGGGGGCAGCAGUGAGGAAUAUUGGUCAAUGGGCGGGAGCCUGAACCAGCCAAGUCGCGUGAGGGAAGACGGUCCUAUGGAUUGUAAACCUCUUUAGGCGGGGAGCAAUGCCGGGCACGCGUGCCCGGAGGGAGAGUACCCGCAGAAUAAGCAUCGGCUAACUCCGUGCCAGCAGCCGCGGUAAUACGGAGGAUGCGAGCGUUAUCCGGAUUUAUUGGGUUUAAAGGGUGCGUAGGCGGGCAUUUAAGCCGGCGGUCAAAUGUCGGGGCUCAACCCCGGCCUGCCGUCGGAACUG
This 305-nucleotide ribosomal RNA is filed under the name uncultured bacterium. RNAcentral describes it as "bacterial SSU rRNA". It matches the Rfam family "Bacterial small subunit ribosomal RNA", at positions 332 to 635 of the family's 1533-position model. The record is from RNAcentral.